AGAAAACCUAAGAGGAAGAAGGAGAGAGCUCAUGGAGAAAAGAGAUUUUCGUAUUCAUGGUGCAGCCCUCACAAAAUGGGUCAUAACUCUCUGCUCGUAACUCCAAAUCAGGUUCUCGAUGAGGGAGAUAAGCGAGUUUGAAGAUUGGGAAUUCUUGCUGAAAGUGAAGAAAAGGGCUUACGGGUUUGAUGGAGAAGAAGGGGAAAAGUCCAUAUUCUUGGCUAAGGUAAGGGGGGACUCUUCCGAUUAACAUCUAUUAUCGGGUUAUGGAUAAUAGGACUGAUAUAGAUAUAUUAUUUCAUGUCAAUUGAGUCGUAUGAUAGAGUUGGGAUUUUGGGGAUGUUUGUUGAUAAUUUUCUGUUUUGAUGAAUUUCCAUGAAUUUGGUGUUGUAUGAUGUUUGAUGAUGCAUAAUAUAUGUUAUAUGUGUGUAUGAUA
Molecule: long non-coding RNA, 436 nt
Organism: Vicia villosa (hairy vetch)
Lineage: Eukaryota; Viridiplantae; Streptophyta; Magnoliopsida; Fabales; Fabaceae
Exons: 2
Source: RefSeq, a predicted model, not a curated record